GACCGUGUAGCUCAGUUGGCAGAGCAUUGGGCUAGUAUUCCAAAGGUUGUAGGUUCGAUUCCCACCGUGGACA
RNAcentral lists this transfer RNA (73 nucleotides) under Paramuricea clavata. It matches the Rfam family "tRNA". Rfam says of the family: Transfer RNA (tRNA) molecules are approximately 80 nucleotides in length. Their secondary structure includes four short double-helical elements and three loops (D, anti-codon, and T loops). Lineage: Eukaryota; Metazoa; Cnidaria; Anthozoa; Malacalcyonacea; Plexauridae. The record is from Rfam by way of RNAcentral.